Molecule: ribosomal RNA, 438 nt
Filed under: uncultured bacterium
Lineage: Bacteria
Description: bacterial SSU rRNA
Rfam family: Bacterial small subunit ribosomal RNA
Source: RNAcentral
CAAUGGGCGUAAGCCUGAACCAGCCAAGUCGCGUGAGGGAUGAAGGUUCUAUGGAUCGUAAACCUCUUUUAUAAGGGAAUAAAGUGUGGGACGUGUCCUAUUUUGUAUGUACCUUAUGAAUAAGGAUCGGCUAACUCCGUGCCGGCAGCCGCGGUAAUACGGAGGAUCCGAGCGUUAUCCGGAUUUAUUGGGUUUAAAGGGUGCGUAGGCGGCCUUUUAAGUCAGCGGUGAAAGUCUGUGGCUCAACCAUAGAAUUGCCGUUGAAACUGGGGGGCUUGAGUAUGUUUGAGGCAGGCGGAAUGCGUGGUGUAGCGGUGAAAUGCUUAGAUAUCACGCAGAACCCCGAUUGCGAAGGCAGCCUGCCAAGCCAUGACUGACGCUGAUGCACGAAAGCGUGGGGAUCAAACAGGAUUAGAUACCCUGGUAGUCCACGCAGUA